GCGCGCGUAGCUCAGCUGGAUAGAGCGUUGGCCUCCGGAGCCAAAGGCCGCAGGUUCGAAUCCUGCCGUGCGCA
RNAcentral lists this transfer RNA (74 nucleotides) under Myxococcales bacterium. RNAcentral describes it as "tRNA-Arg". It matches the Rfam family "tRNA". From Rfam's summary of the family: Transfer RNA (tRNA) molecules are approximately 80 nucleotides in length. Their secondary structure includes four short double-helical elements and three loops (D, anti-codon, and T loops). Further hydrogen bonds mediate the characteristic L-shaped molecular structure. tRNAs have two regions of fundamental functional importance: the anti-codon, which is responsible for specific mRNA codon recognition, and the 3' end, to which the tRNAs corresponding amino acid is attached (by aminoacyl-tRNA synthetases). tRNAs cope with the degeneracy of the genetic code in two manners: having more than one tRNA (with a specific anti-codon) for a particular amino acid; and 'wobble' base-pairing, i.e. permitting non-standard base-pairing at the 3rd anti-codon position. The record is from RNAcentral. Lineage: Bacteria; Pseudomonadati; Myxococcota; Myxococcia; Myxococcales.